CGGGACGGGUGAGUAAUGCUUGGGAAUCUAGCUUAUGGAGGGGGAUAACUACGGGAAACUGUAGCUAAUACCGCGUAGAAUCGGGAGAUGAAAGUGUGGGACCUUCGGGCCACAUGCCAUAGGAUGAGCCCAAGUGGGAUUAGGUAGUUGGUGAGGUAAAGGCUCACCAAGCCGACGAUCUCUAGCUGGUCUGAGAGGAUGACCAGCCACACUGGGACUGGGACACGGCCCAG
This 233-nucleotide ribosomal RNA is filed under the name uncultured bacterium. RNAcentral describes it as "partial 16S ribosomal RNA". It matches the Rfam family "Bacterial small subunit ribosomal RNA", at positions 100 to 334 of the family's 1533-position model. The record is from RNAcentral.